RNAcentral lists this ribosomal RNA (402 nucleotides) under Marinobacter oulmenensis. RNAcentral's name for it is "bacterial SSU rRNA". It matches the Rfam family "Bacterial small subunit ribosomal RNA", at positions 93 to 492 of the family's 1533-position model. The record is from RNAcentral. Lineage: Bacteria; Pseudomonadati; Pseudomonadota; Gammaproteobacteria; Pseudomonadales; Marinobacteraceae.
GAGCGGCGGACGGGUGAGUAAUGCAUAGGAAUCUGCCCAGUAGUGGGGGAUAGCCCGGGGAAACCCGGAUUAAUACCGCAUACGUCCUACGGGAGAAAGCAGGGGAUCUUCGGACCUUGCGCUAUUGGAUGAGCCUAUGUCGGAUUAGCUAGUUGGUGGGGUAAAGGCCUACCAAGGCAACGAUCCGUAGCUGGUCUGAGAGGAUGAUCAGCCACAUCGGGACUGAGACACGGCCCGAACUCCUACGGGAGGCAGCAGUGGGGAAUAUUGGACAAUGGGGGCAACCCUGAUCCAGCCAUGCCGCGUGUGUGAAGAAGGCUUUCGGGUUGUAAAGCACUUUCAGUAGGGAGGAAAACCUUAAGGUUAAUACCCUUAAGGCUUGACGUCACCUACCAGGAAGGA